This 370-nucleotide long non-coding RNA is filed under the name Elaeis guineensis (African oil palm). RNAcentral describes it as "long non-coding RNA (EGUI_LNC011841)". The record is from RNAcentral. Lineage: Eukaryota; Viridiplantae; Streptophyta; Magnoliopsida; Arecales; Arecaceae.
UGGGAUUCGGUGAAUCGGAGCCGUUGAAAGAUGCCGGGGCUAACGAUCGGCGACACGAUCCCGAACCUGGAGGUGGAGACCACGCACGGGAAGAUCCGGAUCCACGACUACGUCGGCGAUGGUUGGGCCAUCAUCUUCUCCCAUCCCGGUAAGGUUUCCCUCUGUCACACCUUUAGUCUUGGAGCCUUGCUUCCAUUCUGAUGUCUCAUUGGUCGCAUGUGCAGCGGAUUUCACACCCGUGUGCACGACGGAGCUGGGGAAGAUGGCGGCGUACGCGGAGGAGUUCGAGAAAAGAGGGGUGAAGCUGCUAGGCAUCUCCUGCGACGAUGUCAAGUGCCACAUGGAAUGGAUCAAAGACGUCGAGGCCUAC